CCCGAAACACUACCCAGGUAGCGUCUCCCACCCAUCCUCCUCCUCUAACCAAAACAAAAGGUUCUGUGUGCCUGAUUGCACUUCCUUUGACUAUUGCACUGGGCAUCCUCACCAGCUCUUCUACUUGCUCCUCCUCCUAAUCUGUGAACAGUAUAAAAAGUGUCGUUCAGUUCAGUUUCCUGAGCUUACCCUUUAUUCCCUGAAAAGGAACAAUCCAAUAUUGAGGUAAAACACGUGGUGAACAGUUAUACAUUAUGUUAACAUGCAUGAGACAACCUUUGAUAUCUCUGAUCAUUACUGCAUUUCUGGUCAAAGCAAUGGAACUUCCUUCCUACUAGCACCCCCAGGACAGUUCCUACAACCCAAAGAAGGCAGCUCAUCACUACCUUCUCAAGGACAAUAAAUGUUGCCCCAGCCAGCAAUGUCCAGAUCCUGUGAAUGAAUUUUUUACGAAGUUUUGAUGUGCAAAGUUAAUCAGCUUUGGAUGAGCAAUUGAUCAUCUGUCCAUUAUCAUUAAAAUGAUACUCAUCUCAUUACAGUUCAGGCUUUGAUGUUGUCCAAGGUCUGUUGUAGGUUGGGCUGGAUUGAAGAAGUUACAAAUGGAACUAAACUUUGUAAAAUUAUCAUGAGAGAAGACAUUACCCUCAGGAAUUCCAGCAAAAAUGUCUGGGAUGUAAUAAUCGGCUUCUGACAGCUAAAGU
Stegostoma tigrinum is the source of this 701-nucleotide long non-coding RNA. RefSeq lists it as uncharacterized. The record is from RefSeq and is a predicted model, not a curated record. The transcript is spliced from 5 exons. Lineage: Eukaryota; Metazoa; Chordata; Chondrichthyes; Orectolobiformes; Stegostomatidae.